RNAcentral lists this ribosomal RNA (268 nucleotides) under uncultured bacterium. RNAcentral's name for it is "partial 16S ribosomal RNA". It matches the Rfam family "Bacterial small subunit ribosomal RNA", at positions 28 to 290 of the family's 1533-position model. The record is from RNAcentral.
GACGAACGCUGGCGGCGUGCUUAACACAUGCAAGUCGAGCGGUAAGGCCCUUUCGGGGGUACGACGAGCGGCGAACGGGUGAGUAACACGUGGGUGACCUGCCCUCCAGCUCUGGGAGUAAGCCUGGGAAACCGGGGUACGUAAUACCGGAUAUGACUCCAUGACGCAUGUUGUGGGGUGGAAAGCCUUGUGCGGCUGAGGAUGGGCCCGCGGCCUAUCAGCUUGUUGGUGGGGUGGAUGGCCUACCAAGGCGACGACGGGUAGCCGG